This is a long non-coding RNA of Daphnia pulicaria, 2908 nucleotides long. RefSeq lists it as uncharacterized. NCBI's taxonomy places the organism in Eukaryota, Metazoa, Arthropoda, Branchiopoda, Diplostraca, Daphniidae. The transcript has 13 exons. The record is from RefSeq and is a predicted model, not a curated record.
UAUUCUGUUUGAAUUAGCCAACUUCCUCGAGUUCUUUAAUUAAAAAACAAUCAAAACAUGAUCUACGUGUUAUCUGGUGUAAUCAUCGCGUUUGGUUGCCAUCGUUACGACUGUCAUCUUCAAGUGCUUAACCGCCGCUUUAGCAGACGACAGCUGUAAACAAAAGCAAGGCCAAGAUCAAAGACACUUUUUUUUUCCUUUUUUUUUGAGCAGCCUUUCCUCUUUUUAGGAUUGGAACAAAGAUUGGAAGCCUGGUCCAUAUCGCAAGACAGGUGCUUAAAGAAGUGACACUGCAGAUGGACUCGGAUAUGAUGAUAAAACAAGCUGUAAAAAAUGAUAAUGAGCCUCCUGCAAUCUUUGAGGUGAGAGAAAAUUUUGAUGACAUAAAAAGGGAGAGUGAGGAAGCAGCAGAAGAUAACCCUGAAGGGAGCUCCAACGGAGAUGAGAAUGGAGAUGAUGAUUUUAACUUGGAAGCAUUCAAUAAGGAAUAUCCUGAGCUUAGUGACACAACACACCAAAGAAAAUAUGGAUGUAAAGAUGCUUGAAAGUCUUUUCAUCACAAGAAUGUUUUGGCAGUGAUUAUUUGCGACUUCACGUCAUCCCAACAUCAGGGAGUGAAGCCCUUUAAAUGUGACGUUUUUACGACCGAUCCAACUUACGUCAACAUACGAGAUCACUGAUGAAAAACUGGCCCGUCCGUAAUGUCCGCACAAAUACUUAAACUGUCUGAAAACAUUUGACCAUUCACACGAAAGAAAAAACAUUCAGUGUGAUACCAGUGGAGCUGGAAAAGAUUUUCGCUAGCUGCUCUGGGUCAUCGUCAAAAGUUGCCAAUCCGGAGAGAGAGGAUCGAUUAUUGAGAGACGAUAUGAGCUGCAUGAAAUGCGACCGAAAAUUCCCUUUGAUUGGAGCGGCUAUCCAGCUGCGAUGUUCUACAGUUUAUUCUCCUCUUUUGAAAGGUCGUAAACAGCAGCAGCAGCAAAGCCCAGUUGUAGUUCCUAAUAAUGACGUGUCUGGGUCUGAAUCAACUCCAUCCUCGAGUAAUCUUCCGGGCAGUGACGUCAUCGUAGCAUCCAAUGAACCGUCUUCACCCACCAUCAGCGGUAAGGAGGCUUCCGACACUUCGGAAGAAGGAAGUCGAGGUGGUUGUGGAUAAAAUCAUGCGACUCGCUUCUAUUAACAGUGAGCAGCCAGAAAAGUGGCUCAGUUUGGAAACAAGUUACCCGCUUAAUCAACUAAUUAACAUGUUAAUCGUCAUCGGUAACCGAGGUGUUGUUCUGAAGUUCGGAACGAGUUGGUCUCACCUCAUUUUGCUUCGUGAUCAAAGACGAACCAAGAACGCGUGACUCACUUUCUCACUGAUAUUCUUGAGAAAUCCGGAUUUACUGUUCCGCCGUUAAGGACGGUACUCAUGGCGGAUCAAUGGCUGGCUUUGAUUGGACUCCGUCAGAGGAGAUCAGGACACUGUUUUGACGGGAUCUGCGGAUGAAGGUGAAACGGACGGUGUAGUGUAGGAUCUACGAGGACGAGUACCCGAUUCAUGCCGGAUAGCGAUUCUCGCGUAUUCCUCUUUUGUGUAAACUGACGGGUCGAAUGGGGCAAUAGUAAGCAACAGAAAAAUCACCAGCAAACGGCCAGUUAUAGCAACACAGCCUUGAUGGUCACAAGUUAUCGUAUGGUUUUAGUAUGUGGUGAUCCUCGUUGGCUGACGAGCCAUCAAGUUCAGUUUUGAACGUGGGGUGGGAGGGGGAGAGGGUCGCUUCUCAGCCUUCAGCAACUUGUCAAUCUCGUCUCUUUGGAAAGCUUCGAAGUAAUCGUAAGCAAACCGGAACAGAUCCGGUAUUAUUUUCUCGAAUGGACAGUUUCUUUGGCUACUAGAGAGGCGGUUGAUCAACUGAUUGAAGCUGUACGAUAUCGUUGGGAAGCCGUCUUCUCCGUUGAGCUGGAAAUCAACGAGCUCGACGACUAACAUCAUGUAAUAUCCCCUCUCGAUUAGACUUAUCGUUUUUCUUUAUUGUUACCUUGCUGUACAUGAAUUCUGUGUGAAGUGCAAUUAUUGUUUCAAAAGUGAGCCUUUUCAACUUGGAAGUCUAAUUAAUUACACAAUGUGCAUUCAGAUUUCAGAUAAUAAGCAAUUUAUAAUAAAAUUAUUAUUCAUGUAUUUUUUUUAUUACUGCUUUAAACACAAAUUCACUAAGCAUGUUUCCAGAAGGGUGACUUUGUUUUGGUAUUCAAAUAUUUGUAAAGCUUUUUUAUUCUAGAGUUCAGCGUGCCCCACUUUGUUGGAUGAGUGAGGGGUAAUCUUCUCGUUGCACAAAUUUCAUCUUGGGCAACAGGACCUAGAAUUAAGUUUGAAACAACAUAGGAGGAACAUUAUUGAACAAUUGAGUUGGGUGUAAGGUCUUUCGAGUGAUCUUAUUAGAUGGGCCAAGGAUAUCAAUGUAGUCAUUCUGGCCAAAAAGUGCUCGUUUGAGGAAUGAGGAGGCGGAGGCUUCUACGCCGACGUGUCCAGUGGCUGCAGACGAUUCUAUACCUGUGGAGUUGGGAAAAAGAACAGAGUGGUGUCGCAUACUUUUACGUGUGGAACCGGGCUACUGUUUGACCAAGCCACGCUAACAUGUCAGGACAUUGACAAAGUGGAUUGCGCCUUGUCGCCGACUUUCUUCUAUCUAAACGAUCCUGCUCUCCGUCCAGCCGUUACAGAACCGAUGGUCACGGACACUUUUCAGUCGUUCAAAACCACCACCACCACAACACCUUCUCCUGAAGAAACAACAACAUCCUAGGAUUUGGAAUUUUUAUAUAUAAAUAAUUAAUAAGAAAGCAUUACGUUCGUUUCACCAUCGCCGGAUUGAUUAGUCUUGUGCCAUUGAUUUCCAGAUAUCAAGAAUACAUUCCUAUCAUAGAA